Molecule: ribosomal RNA, 466 nt
Filed under: uncultured bacterium
Lineage: Bacteria
Description: bacterial SSU rRNA
Rfam family: Bacterial small subunit ribosomal RNA
Source: RNAcentral
UCCUACGGGGGGCAGCAGUGGGGAAUUUUGCGCAAUGGACGAAAGUCUGACGCAGCAACGCCGCGUGGAGGAAGAAGGUCUUCGGAUUGUAAACUUCUGUUGAUCGGGAAGAAAUAACAAAAAUUAAUACUUUUUGUAGAUGACGUUACCGAUCUAGAAAGCCCCGGCUAACUUUGUGCCAGCAGCCGCGGUAAUACAAAGGGGGCAAGCGUUAUUCGGAAUUAUUGGGCGUAAAGGGCGCGUAGGCGGUGAAAUAAGUUUGUUGUUUAAUCUUUCAGCCCAACUGGAAGUAUGCAUCGAAUACUGUUUCGCUAGAGUAUGAUAGAGAUGAGUGGAAUUUUCGGAGUAGCGGUUAAAUGCGUAGAUCUCGAAAGGAACGCCAAUGGCGAAAGCAGCUCAUUGGGUCAUUACUGACGCUGAGGCGCGAAGGCGUGGGGAGCAAACAGGAUUAGAUACCCCUGUAGUC